AGUUGUUGAAUAUUGCUUUGUUAUGAUCAUUUGUAGAGCCAAGGGCUUCUGCAAAGUUCUAUUGGUCUUUGAGAACAAUACCUCCCAUAUACCUCCCAUUGAUUCGCAUAACUGAGCUGGUGAACAAUUCCUCUGAAGGUUUGUAGCUGAGAGGAAGACAUUUCAGUCUUUCUAAUUUUCUGAGGUCAUCUUGCAUAGCAGAUUGGAGAUCAUUGGUAAAAUUAGAUUGCAUUGGUUAGUUGCAUUGGAGGCAUAUUGGAGGCGUUGGAGGACUGAUUUUAUUAUUACUUGAAGUUUGAUGUAAAGUUACAGUCAUAUUGGACAGCCAUUGGAAACCACGAUUUCACUCAUGGAGGGUUCAUACUACAUCGAUUCCACUUGCUAGUUGGAGCGCCCUCUUCCUUGGGUCAUAGCAAUGGAGUUUAGUGCUUAAAGAGAGACAAAGGGGCUGCCAUUUAUUUAUUAUUGACAUUCAUAUUAGAACAAGGGCAAUUUUGGAAAAGUGGUCGAUUUGGCAAGAGGAGAGUAUAAAGUGUAUUGAUAUUGUGUGCUUCUUCAUCCUCACACCUAGGCGCUUCAUCCAGGUUAAUAAAUUAUUGGAGAGAGUUGAGGAAACGUUUACAAAACACUUUGCAACUGGAAACCAAAGCAAAGUUGUAAAGAUAUUAAGGCCAACAAUAAAAAGGCAAAGACAUAGACUUACCUUUUUUAUAGGAUUUUUUACUGGCUGCUCCAUUGCCCUCUUAGUGGCACUCAUUCUACUCAUAGUGACUCGAAAUGUUUACAAUGAUAAUGGGGCUACCCGCUAUAUGGAAUCCGUUUUUCCUCU
Cryptomeria japonica (Japanese cedar) is the source of this 829-nucleotide long non-coding RNA. RefSeq lists it as uncharacterized. NCBI's taxonomy places the organism in Eukaryota, Viridiplantae, Streptophyta, Pinopsida, Cupressales, Cupressaceae. The transcript has 3 exons. The record is from RefSeq and is a predicted model, not a curated record.